This 72-nucleotide transfer RNA is filed under the name Ovis aries (sheep). It matches the Rfam family "tRNA". Rfam says of the family: Transfer RNA (tRNA) molecules are approximately 80 nucleotides in length. Their secondary structure includes four short double-helical elements and three loops (D, anti-codon, and T loops). Lineage: Eukaryota; Metazoa; Chordata; Mammalia; Artiodactyla; Bovidae. The record is from Rfam by way of RNAcentral.
UCCCUGGUGGCUCAACUGGUAAAGAAUCUGCCUGCAAUGCAGGAGAUCCUGGUUUGAUUCCUGGGUUGGGAA